UGUUGAUGUAAACAUAUACGCUGUUCAUAUAUUAGAACAAACAAAACCGGUACCUGUCGUUUUCAGCAUCGGCGGAGCCAGGCCAAGUUUGCGGUUGCGGGUUGUACCUGCUCGUGUGUAAUGACCACGAACCCGUCUUACUUUUGGUUCAGGUCAAAUUGUGAAGAGUUCACGCGACCUACGUCUGGUGUUUAUCGCCUUUUAUGUCCGCCAAUAGUUUAAUAGGAGAGAACGAAUGUUAACUGGGCCAGAUUUAUAAAACGAAGGUCACGAAUUUACGAGUUCAUUUAGACUCAAAACGAGAAAGUUCACUGCAAUGUAGACUGAACCGCGAGACUUUUGGUUUGGGAUCAGUUUUUUGAUCAGAGAGUCCUUCGUAUCGAAAAGAAGUAUCAUUUAAAACUUGGAUUUAUUUCCGGAAUGGAUGUGGUUCAACCGUAUCCACUCGUUACAUGUCUCUAGUGCUGCUUCUUUUGCACAAGACAACUAACUGGAAUUGCUUCAACCGUUAUCAGCCACAGAAAGAAAAAUAUUCAACUAAAGAAAUCGCACCUGACAACUCGUAAGCGGGCAGAACGAAAUAAGACACCCAUGUUAUAACUUCUGAAGUUGGCCUGCUACGUGGAAAUGAAAAAAAAUCAUUCAAUUAUAAAAAAAUGCAUCGAAUUGCAAAUGAAACAACAAGAAAAUGUAUUUUCAUAUCAGAAACAAUAAACAAUGAGUAACAUUAAUAUGUUCGAUAUUUCCAGCAACAAAUUAAACUGCCAAGUGUAAUGUUAAUAAUAGCUUCUCCUUUGCUGUCGUACAUUGUUAGUAUUUUGUAAUAGGAUUGGAAUACAAAAAUAC
Non-coding RNA from Ciona intestinalis (vase tunicate), 846 nucleotides. The record is from RefSeq and is a predicted model, not a curated record. Lineage: Eukaryota; Metazoa; Chordata; Ascidiacea; Phlebobranchia; Cionidae.